Molecule: ribosomal RNA, 393 nt
Filed under: uncultured bacterium
Lineage: Bacteria
Description: partial 16S ribosomal RNA
Rfam family: Bacterial small subunit ribosomal RNA
Source: RNAcentral
AUACGGAGGAUGCAAGCGUUAUCCGGAUUUAUUGGGUUUAAAGGGUGCGUAGGCGGGACUGUAAGUCAGGGGUGAAAUACUGCAGCUUAACUGUAGCAUUGCCUUUGAAACUGCCGUUCUUGAGUACAGUUGAGGUAGGCGGAAUGUGGUGUGUAGCGGUGAAAUGCGUAGAUAUACCACAGAACGCCGAUUGCGAAGGCAGCUUACUAAGCUGUUACUGACGCUGAGGCACGAAAGCGUGGGGAUCAAACAGGUUUAGAUACCCUGGUAGUCCGCACAGUAAACGAUGUGCACCAGGUGGCGGGCAGCAGUGCUCGGUACCGAAGCAAACGCAUUAAGUACACCGUCUGGGGAGUAUGCUCGCAAGGGUGAAACUCAAAUGAAUUGACGGGG